This 73-nucleotide transfer RNA is filed under the name Ixodes scapularis (black-legged tick). It matches the Rfam family "tRNA". Rfam says of the family: Transfer RNA (tRNA) molecules are approximately 80 nucleotides in length. The record is from Rfam by way of RNAcentral. Lineage: Eukaryota; Metazoa; Arthropoda; Arachnida; Ixodida; Ixodidae.
GCAGUCGUGGCCAAGUGGUUAAGGCGAUGGACUAGAAACGUGCAGUCGACAGGUUUGAAUCCUGUCGACUGCG